UCGGGAAUUUUGGGCAAUGGGCGAAAGCCUGACCCAGCAACGCCGCGUGAAGGAUGAAGUAUUUCGGUAUGUAAACUUCGAAAGAAUAGGAAGAAUAAAUGACGGUACUAUUUAUAAGGUCCGGCUAACUACGUGCCAGCAGCCGCGGUAAUACGUAGGGACCAAGCGUUGUUCGGAUUUACUGGGCGUAAAGGGCGCGUAGGCGGCAAUUCAAGUCAUCUGUGAAAUCUCCGGGCUUAACUCGGAACGGUCAGAUGAUACUGCUUUGCUAGAGUGCAGAAGGGGCAAUCGGAAUUCUUGGUGUAGCGGUGAAAUGCGUAGAUAUUAGGAAGAACACCUGAGGUGAAGACGGGUUGCUGGGCUGACACUGACGCUGAGGCGCGAAAGCCAGGGGAGCAAACGGGAUUAGAUACCCUCGUAUUCCCUGAGCGGGCUGGCAAGGCGCAU
This 447-nucleotide ribosomal RNA is filed under the name uncultured bacterium. RNAcentral describes it as "bacterial SSU rRNA". It matches the Rfam family "Bacterial small subunit ribosomal RNA", at positions 355 to 825 of the family's 1533-position model. The record is from RNAcentral.